CAAUAGCGUAUAUUAAAGUUGUUGCGGUUAAAAAGCUCGUAGUUGGAUUUCUGCCGAGGACGUCCGGUCCGCCCUCUGGGUGUGUACAUGGUACGGCCUGGGCAUCUUCUUGGAAAACGUAUCUGCACUUGACUGUGUGGUGCGGUAUCCAGGACUUUUACUUUGAGGAAAUUAGAGUGUUUCAAGCAGGCCUACGCCUUGAAUACAUUAGCAUGGAAUAAUAAGAUAGGACCUCGGUUCUAUUUUGUUGGUUUCUAGAGCUGAGGUAAUGAUUAAUAGGGAUAGUUGGGGGCAUUCGUAUUUAACUGUCAGAGGCGAAAUUCUUGGAUUUGUUAAAGACGGACUACUGCGAAAGCAUUUGCCAAGGAUGUUUUCAUUGA
This 380-nucleotide ribosomal RNA is filed under the name uncultured eukaryote. Its description in RNAcentral is "partial 18S ribosomal RNA". It matches the Rfam family "Eukaryotic small subunit ribosomal RNA", at positions 592 to 976 of the family's 1831-position model. The record is from RNAcentral.